Molecule: ribosomal RNA, 487 nt
Filed under: uncultured bacterium
Lineage: Bacteria
Description: partial 16S ribosomal RNA
Rfam family: Bacterial small subunit ribosomal RNA
Source: RNAcentral
GAUGAACGCUAGCGAUAGGCUUAACACAUGCAAGUCGAGGGGCAGCACGAGGUAGCUUGCUAUCUGGGUGGCGACCGGCGCACGGGUGCGUAACGCGUAUGCAACUUGCCCUAUACAGGAGGAUAACCCGUCGAAAGACGGACUAAUACUGCGUAUGCUCACAACUUGGCAUCAAGUGGUGAGGAAAGAAAUUCGGUAUAGGAUAGGCAUGCGUCCCAUUAGCUUGUUGGUGAGGUAACGGCUCACCAAGGCAACGAUGGGUAGGGGAACUGAGAGGUUUAUCCCCCACACUGGUACUGAGACACGGACCAGACUCCUACGGGAGGCAGCAGUGAGGAAUAUUGGUCAAUGGGCGCGAGCCUGAACCAGCCAAGUCGCGUGAAGGAUGACUGUCUUAUGGAUUGUAAACUUCUUUUAUACGGGAAUAACAAGAGUCACGUGUGACUCCCUGCAUGUACCGUAUGAAUAAGCAUCGGCUAACUCCGUG